Molecule: non-coding RNA, 201 nt
Organism: Myotis brandtii (Brandt's bat)
Lineage: Eukaryota; Metazoa; Chordata; Mammalia; Chiroptera; Vespertilionidae
Source: Rfam
GGCAGCCAGACAGUUUUGCUUGGAUCUGUGGGGCGGCCGCGUGGCCAUACGUUCAACGCUCUGAGACAUCGGUGCCGGGACCCAGCCAGAAAGUGACUUACAGCCCCGAGCAGGAGCUGGAGGCCUCUGCUCUGGGAGGCCCCUCAGAGUAAACAGUGAGAUUUCUGGGAAACAUACCUAAGGCCAGACUGUCGGGAAAGG